Molecule: transfer-messenger RNA, 382 nt
Filed under: Leptolyngbyaceae cyanobacterium CSU_1_4
Lineage: Bacteria; Bacillati; Cyanobacteriota; Cyanophyceae; Leptolyngbyales; Leptolyngbyaceae
Also listed under: 1 other name
Rfam family: transfer-messenger RNA
About the family: Bacterial tmRNA, also known as 10Sa RNA or SsrA, is named for its dual tRNA and mRNA-like properties. Its role is to liberate the mRNA from a stalled ribosome.
Source: RNAcentral
GGGGCUGUCACGGUUUCGACGUUUUGGCGAACGUUAUUUCGCGAUGCAGGUCGAGAGCGGGCUAACUCUCGCAAAUCAAUGGCUCAAAACACGUACAUGCGAACAACAUCGUACCCUUUGCUCGUAAAGCAGCUGCGGUUGCCUAAAAACCUCUUAUAGGUUCGAGCGUCUACAGUCCGACUCCGUUAAGAGUGUAGACCAACCCCAACGGAUGCUCGAGUUUGGUUCCUCUAGUUAAAAACUCGCUAAGACUCAAUUAGAGAAUCCCCCGUCUGGGACAAUAGACGGCUCCCGCUUAGAGGACUAGAUAAGCUAAACCUGUGAAUGAUCGGAAUAUUAAUACCCAGGGCGGACACGGGUUCGACUCCCGUCAGCUCCAUCC